UUAGCCCAACGAGAUCGGGAUAACACCUGGAAACAGAUGCUAAUACCGGAUAACAACAGAUGAUGCCUAUCAACUGUUUAAAAGAUGGUUCUGCUAUCACUCUUGGAUGGACCUGCGGUGCAUUAGCUAGUUGGUAGGGUAACGGCCCACCAAGGCGAUGAUGCAUAGCCGAGUUGAGAGACUGAUCGGCCACAUUGGGACUGAGACACGGCCCAAACUCCUACGGGAGGCAGCAGCU
Molecule: ribosomal RNA, 238 nt
Filed under: uncultured Lactobacillus sp.
Lineage: Bacteria; Bacillati; Bacillota; Bacilli; Lactobacillales; Lactobacillaceae
Description: partial 16S ribosomal RNA
Rfam family: Bacterial small subunit ribosomal RNA
Source: RNAcentral